CCCUUAGAUGUUCUGGGCCGCACGCGUGCUACACUGAGUGGAUCAGCGGGUCAGGUUGCGCGAAAGUGUUUCCUAAUCUUUAAAUCCGCUCGUGAUGGGGAUUGACGGUUGCAAUUUUCCGUCAUGAACGAGGAAUACCUUGUAAGCGCGGGUCAUCAUCCCGCGCUGAAUACGUCCCUGCCCUUUGUACACACCGCCCGUCGCUCCUACCGAUUGAGUGGUCCGGUGAGGCUUUGGGAUCUGAGCGGAAAGAGCGUUUCGCUGUUUCUGCCCGGAAAACUCAGUCGAACCUUAUCAUUUUGAGGAAGGAGAAGUCGUAACA
This 322-nucleotide ribosomal RNA is filed under the name uncultured eukaryote. Its description in RNAcentral is "partial 18S ribosomal RNA". It matches the Rfam family "Eukaryotic small subunit ribosomal RNA", at positions 1470 to 1796 of the family's 1831-position model. The record is from RNAcentral.